Non-coding RNA from Heterocephalus glaber (naked mole-rat), 507 nucleotides. The record is from RefSeq and is a predicted model, not a curated record. NCBI's taxonomy places the organism in Eukaryota, Metazoa, Chordata, Mammalia, Rodentia, Bathyergidae.
GUCUGCCACAAGUCACCCUAACUCAGACUGGGAGGAUUGAUAUUGGUGAAUCAAGAACACACACCUGAUUCAAUGGGAGAAAAGGUGAGACCUCUUCUCACCAGAAAAGCAACCAUGGCUUCCCUCCUCAUACAAAGUACCUCCGUAAAGAAAGGCAGGAAGUGGUGCGACCAUUAAGAGUCUAUUGCAAGCUUUCAGAUGAUACAACAAAGGCGUGAACUAGAAUGGUGGUAAAAGGGUUGGAGAGGAGUGGAUGGAUUCCACCUACACAAUACAAUCAAAAACUGGUGAAGCCAGGAAAAUGUACACGGACCUCUAAGUGGAGGAUAUGGAGACAGCAAAGGAGACAGAAGGCAGAGACACAGGAAGAAAUUGGAAGAUCUGGGUGCCAGGGAGGCUCUGAGAAGAAAGUACAUGAAGAAAUUAUCUGAGGGUCCAUGUAAGAUAAAGUCAAAGAAUGACCCAGAUAUCAUAGAGGGUCAUAGUAGCUAAAGUGUAUAACAUUAG